RNAcentral lists this long non-coding RNA (215 nucleotides) under Elaeis guineensis (African oil palm). RNAcentral's name for it is "long non-coding RNA (EGUI_LNC040259)". Lineage: Eukaryota; Viridiplantae; Streptophyta; Magnoliopsida; Arecales; Arecaceae. The record is from RNAcentral.
CUCGAGAGUGCUAGCUCGUGCGAAGACUUUUUUCUUGGUUGAUCUAUAUAUUUUUUUUUUAAAUCUUUGAAAUUUUUUUUAGAGAUUGAAGAUAGACUUCUAGAAGAGAUGAAGAAGUAAAGAAAGAUGAAAAAGAAAAUAAUUUUUUUUAAUUUAUUCCCUCUUCUCAAAUCCAAAAGAUCAAAAAUCUGAAAUUCAUAUCAUGAACCAUGUCC